RNAcentral lists this transfer RNA (65 nucleotides) under Wiebesia pumilae. RNAcentral's name for it is "tRNA-Met". The record is from RNAcentral. Lineage: Eukaryota; Metazoa; Arthropoda; Insecta; Hymenoptera; Agaonidae.
UUAAAGAUAGAUUAAUAUAAAUUAUUAGACUCAUAAUCUGAAGAUAAUCGAAAGAUUUCUUUAAU